RNAcentral lists this ribosomal RNA (253 nucleotides) under uncultured bacterium. RNAcentral describes it as "partial 16S ribosomal RNA". It matches the Rfam family "Bacterial small subunit ribosomal RNA", at positions 524 to 776 of the family's 1533-position model. The record is from RNAcentral.
UACGGAGGGUGCAAACGUUGCUCGGAAUCAUUGGGCGUAAAGCGAGCGUAGGCGGUCUCGUAAGUCGGAUGUGAAAGCCCUCGGCUCAACCGAGGAAGUGCACCCGAAACUGCGAGACUUGAGUGUCGGAGAGGGUGACGGAAUUCCCGGUGUAGCGGUGAAAUGCGCAGAUAUCGGGAGGAACACCUAUGGCGAAGGCAGCUCGCUGGGACGUUACUGACGCUGAGACGCGAAAGCGUGGGGAGCAAACAGG